UAGGGAAUCUUCGGCAAUGGACGAAAGUCUGACCGAGCAACGCCGCGUGAGUGAAGAAGGUUUUCGGAUCGUAAAACUCUGUUGUUAGAGAAGAACAAGGACGUUAGUAACUGAACGUCCCCUGACGGUAUCUAACCAGAAAGCCACGGCUAACUACGUGCCAGCAGCCGCGGUAAUACGUAGGUGGCAAGCGUUGUCCGGAUUUAUUGGGCGUAAAGCGAGCGCAGGCGGUUUCUUAAGUCUGAUGUGAAAGCCCCCGGCUCAACCGGGGAGGGUCAUUGGAAACUGGGAGGCUUGAGUGCAGAAGAGGAGGGUGGAAUUCCAUGUGUAGCGGUGAAAUGCGUAGAUAUAUGGAGGAACACCAGUGGCGAAGGCGGCUCUCUGGUCUGUAACUGACGCUGAGGCUCGAAAGCGUGGGGAGCAAACAGG
RNAcentral lists this ribosomal RNA (429 nucleotides) under Gemmatimonadota bacterium. RNAcentral describes it as "Gemmatimonadetes bacterium partial 16S ribosomal RNA". It matches the Rfam family "Bacterial small subunit ribosomal RNA", at positions 355 to 776 of the family's 1533-position model. Lineage: Bacteria; Pseudomonadati; Gemmatimonadota. The record is from RNAcentral.